This 230-nucleotide ribosomal RNA is filed under the name uncultured bacterium. RNAcentral describes it as "partial 16S ribosomal RNA". It matches the Rfam family "Bacterial small subunit ribosomal RNA", at positions 563 to 791 of the family's 1533-position model. The record is from RNAcentral.
UAAGCGUGCGCAGGCGGUUAUAUAAGACAGAGGUGAAAUCCCCGGGCUCAACCUGGGAACUGCCUUUGUGACUGUAUGGCUAGAGUGUGUCAGAGGGGGGUAGAAUUCCACGUGUAGCAGUGAAAUGCGUAGAUAUGUGGAGGAAUACCGAUGGCGAAGGCAGCCCCCUGGGAUAACACUGACGCUCAUGCACGAAAGCGUGGGGAGCAAACAGGAUUAGAUACCCGGGU